GUCGUGCGGACCUUUUAAAGCUUGCUUUUAAAGGUUAGCGGCGGACGGGUGAGUAACACGUGGGCAACCUGCCUGUAAGAUCGGGAUAACGCCGGGAAACCGGGGCUAAUACCGGAUAGUUUUUUCCUCCGCAUGGAGGAAAAAGGAAAGACGGCUUCGGCUGUCACUUACAGAUGGGCCCGCNNNGCAUUAGCUAGUUGGUGGGGUAACGGCUCACCAAGGCAACGAUGCGUAGCCGACCUGAGAGGGUGAUCGGCCACAUUGGGACUGAGACACGGCCCAAACUCCUACGGGAGGCAGCAGUAGGGAAUCUUCCGCAAUGGACGAAAGUCUGACGGAGCAACGCCGCGUGAGUGAAGAAGGCCUUCGGGUCGUAAAACUCUGUUGCCGGGGAAGAACAAGUGCCGUUCGAACAGGGCGGCGCCUUGACGGUACCCGGCCAGAAAGCCACGGCUAACUACGUGCCAGCAGCCGCGGUAAUACGUAGGUGGCAAGCGUUGUCCGGAAUUAUUGGGCGUAAAGCGCGCGCAGGCGGCUUCUUAAGUCUGAUGUGAAAUCUUGCGGCUCAACCGCAAGCGGUCAUUGGAAACUGGGAGGCUUGAGUGCAGAAGAGGAGAGUGGAAUUCCACGUGUAGCGGUGAAAUGCGUAGAGAUGUGGAGGAACACCAGUGGCGAAGGCGGCUCUCUGGUCUGUAACUGACGCUGAGGCGCGAAAGCGUGGGGAGCAAACAGGAUUAGAUACCCUGGUAGUCCACGCCGUAAACGAUGAGUGCUAAGUGUUAGAGGGUUUCCGCCCUUUAGUGCUGCAGCUAACGCAUUAAGCACUCCGCCUGGGGAGUACGGCCGCAAGGCUGAAACUCAAAGGAAUUGACGGGGGCCCGCACAAGCGGUGGAGCAUGUGGUUUAAUUCGAAGCAACGCGAAGAACCUUACCAGGUCUUGACAUCCUCUGACCUCCCUGGAGACAGGGCCUUCCCCUUCGGGGGACAGAGUGACAGGUGGUGCAUGGUUGUCGUCAGCUCGUGUCGUGAGAUGUUGGGGUUAAGUCCCGCAACGAGCGCAACCCUUGACCUUAGUUGCCAGCAUUCAGUUGGGCACUCUAAGGUGACUGCCGGUGAC
Molecule: ribosomal RNA, 1118 nt
Filed under: Heyndrickxia coagulans
Lineage: Bacteria; Bacillati; Bacillota; Bacilli; Caryophanales; Bacillaceae
Description: bacterial SSU rRNA
Rfam family: Bacterial small subunit ribosomal RNA
Source: RNAcentral